GGGGUCGUAGUCUAGCCAGGUAUGACGACGGGCUCCAGACCCGUAGGAACAGCUUGACGCUGUUUCGGGUAAAGGUCGUCGGUUCAACUCCGACCGACCCCACCA
RNAcentral lists this transfer RNA (105 nucleotides) under Candidatus Bathyarchaeota archaeon. RNAcentral describes it as "tRNA-Trp". It matches the Rfam family "tRNA". From Rfam's summary of the family: Transfer RNA (tRNA) molecules are approximately 80 nucleotides in length. Their secondary structure includes four short double-helical elements and three loops (D, anti-codon, and T loops). Further hydrogen bonds mediate the characteristic L-shaped molecular structure. tRNAs have two regions of fundamental functional importance: the anti-codon, which is responsible for specific mRNA codon recognition, and the 3' end, to which the tRNAs corresponding amino acid is attached (by aminoacyl-tRNA synthetases). tRNAs cope with the degeneracy of the genetic code in two manners: having more than one tRNA (with a specific anti-codon) for a particular amino acid; and 'wobble' base-pairing, i.e. permitting non-standard base-pairing at the 3rd anti-codon position. The record is from RNAcentral. Lineage: Archaea; Thermoproteati; Candidatus Bathyarchaeota.